CAGUAGCCACGGUAAUACGUAGGUGGCAAGCGUUGUCCGGAAUUAUUGGGCGUAAAGCGCGCGCAGGCGGAUCGGUCAGUCUGUCUUAAAAGUUCGGGGCUUAACCCCGUGAUGGGAUGGAAACUGCCAAUCUAGAGUAUCGGAGAGGAAAGUGGAAUUCCUAGUGUAGCGGUGAAAUGCGUAGAUAUUAGGAAGAACACCAGUGGCGAAGGCGACUUUCUGGACGAAAACUGACGCUGAGGCGCGAAAGCCAGGGGAGCGAACGGGAUUAGAUACCCCCGUAGUCCCUGUCUAUUAUACA
RNAcentral lists this ribosomal RNA (301 nucleotides) under uncultured bacterium. RNAcentral describes it as "partial 16S ribosomal RNA". It matches the Rfam family "Bacterial small subunit ribosomal RNA", at positions 509 to 809 of the family's 1533-position model. The record is from RNAcentral.